RNAcentral lists this ribosomal RNA (253 nucleotides) under uncultured bacterium. RNAcentral's name for it is "partial 16S ribosomal RNA". It matches the Rfam family "Bacterial small subunit ribosomal RNA", at positions 524 to 776 of the family's 1533-position model. The record is from RNAcentral.
UACGGGGGGGGCAAGCGUUGUUCGGAAUUACUGGGCGUAAAGGGCUCGUAGGUGGCCAACUAAGUCAGACGUGAAAUCCCUCGGCUUAACCGGGGAACUGCGUCUGAUACUGGAUGGCUUGAGUUCGGGAGAGGGAUGCGGAAUUCCAGGUGUAGCGGUGAAAUGCGUAGAGAUCCGGAGGAACACCAGUGGCGAAAGCGGCCACCUGGACUGCACCUGACGCUGAAACGCGAAAGCUAGGGGAGCGAACGGG